CGUCCACCAGCAACAACGGGGUCCGAGAGUACCGGUGUUGGCACAGGAACAGCCUGUUGAACCUGCGAUGAUGGGACCGCAACAGGUGC
RNAcentral lists this non-coding RNA (89 nucleotides) under Cyclophora tenuis. Lineage: Eukaryota; Bacillariophyta; Fragilariophyceae; Cyclophorales; Cyclophoraceae. The record is from RNAcentral.